Platichthys flesus (European flounder) is the source of this 511-nucleotide long non-coding RNA. RefSeq lists it as uncharacterized. Lineage: Eukaryota; Metazoa; Chordata; Actinopteri; Pleuronectiformes; Pleuronectidae. The record is from RefSeq and is a predicted model, not a curated record. The transcript is spliced from 3 exons.
CAACGGCAAACCAACGAAUCAAGAGUUGGUGGUCUUUCUUCAGAAAGCAAAGGACUCAGUUCUGGAUUGAUGUCUUCAGUGACCUGAGAGAGAGGCACCUUUUCAACGGCAGCCAUGAGCACAAGUGCCUCAUACGGUAUGCCUUCCUGGCCGUCUUGCAGAAAGAGCUUGAUGAGUAGAGACAACUUUGGAACAACCACACCAUCCGACCUGUUCGUCAAUCUCGUUGUCCAUCGCGUAAACCAGAAGCCAUGUACCACCUGCCUGACAGGUUUGACGGAAGGGAAUGUGGAUUCCCAGUGUCCCAGGAAGCCCUACACCAGUUUGAUGACUUUCUGCCAGCUCCGCGCAGUCUGUGUGGUGAUGUUGAUCUCCAAAGUCAUUUUGCAGACUUGGAGAGACAGAAUGGGCUUGCUCUACCACUCCACUGGACAACUGCUGUUGUGAAUUACAUAUCACUCAAGAAUAUGUCUGGACUUUAGAAUCUUCAGCUCCUGGUUCUGCAACAUAA